UGCAUUCACUACUGUAAGUCGCUCUGGACAAGAGCGUCUGCUAAAUACCUAAAA
Salmo salar (Atlantic salmon) is the source of this 54-nucleotide non-coding RNA. NCBI's taxonomy places the organism in Eukaryota, Metazoa, Chordata, Actinopteri, Salmoniformes, Salmonidae. The record is from Rfam.